Molecule: ribosomal RNA, 301 nt
Filed under: uncultured bacterium
Lineage: Bacteria
Description: partial 16S ribosomal RNA
Rfam family: Bacterial small subunit ribosomal RNA
Source: RNAcentral
CAGUAGCCGCGGGAAAACGUAGGGUGCAAGCGUUAAUCGGAAUUACUGGGCGUAAAGCGUGCGCAGGCGGUUAUAUAAGACAGAUGUGAAAUCCCCGGGCUCAACCUGGGAACUGCAUUUGUGACUGUAUAGCUAGAGUACGGCAGAGGGGGAUGGAAUUCCGCGUGUAGCAGUGAAAUGCGUAGAUAUGCGGAGGAACACCGAUGGCGAAGGCAAUCCCCUGGGCCUGUACUGACGCUCAUGCACGAAAGCGUGGGGAGCAAACAGGAUUAGAUACCCCAGUAGUCCCUGUCUCUUAUAC